RNAcentral lists this small RNA (112 nucleotides) under Caenorhabditis remanei. RNAcentral describes it as "SL2 RNA". It matches the Rfam family "SL2 RNA". Rfam says of the family: This family represents SL2 RNA. SL2 RNA is involved in trans splicing in lower eukaryotes. The record is from Rfam by way of RNAcentral. Lineage: Eukaryota; Metazoa; Nematoda; Chromadorea; Rhabditida; Rhabditidae.
GGUUUUAACCCAGUUACUCAAGGUUCGCUGGGGUUCCGACUAUUCGAAAGAAUGUGUUGAACAAAAACAUAACUUUUGGAACCGCUCUGCUGGGGUUUUCCGGUAGAGCAAA